GACUCAUUAAAAUAACAUUUCAAUGACCAAGGUUGCUUUACCUGUCGAGUGCAAGGAAACCAUAAUCUGCUGUUGGUAUUGUCUAUUCUUGCAGCCCUACAAUGACAGAGGAAGAGGAAGACUGGAAUGAAGGGGAUCAAAGGAAAUGCAGAGAUGUAUGAUGAUGUUGAACUGAAACAACCCUCAAAACAUCCAUCUGCCACCUCCCAACUGAAUCAGUCCUCUAACAAUAUUUCUGUGGCCCCUGCUCUUCCUGCCCGACCAAGUGUGAAAGCGAGUGGAGAGCGCAAGGUAUAAAUGAUUUACAACACUAAAACAAAUUUUGGUAAGAAAGGCAGUCAUGCCAUGCAAAUGUAUCCACAGAUUUUUGGCUGAAGUGUAAUUUCAGCUCGGAGGGUGGAAUUGUAUUCAUCACGAAGCAUUCAUUAUUGUAAUGUACUCAUUAUAAUUUGAGCUGUAAAGGAGCAAGUCAAACGAUUGAUUGGGACCAUAGCAAAAAUCCAGACAUUCGGACUACAUUUUAUGGAAGUUGCCUUUUUGAAAGUGUCUCUCUUGGUCUAUCCUCUUGUUGAAUGACUGACUUUGUGGCCACAAAAGGGGUGAUGAGUGUUGACGGGGCUUAUGGAAGAACCGUUAUUUGAAAGGUGAAACGAAGAAGUUGGUAUUUCCAUUCCUGGAAGCAAAAAAAUAAAUAAAUGUUAAAAAAAAAAAAAAAGGGAAUCAUAUUGAUGAAUGAAGCUUAUUUGAGUUAAUUUGAUCAGUGUGAGAUUAUGGUAGGCAUGACAUGGUUUCUAAUUUUGUUGACGUGUUGAUUUGUGCCACCAGUCAAUGCCCAAAGCAGAUGAUCUUUACGAUGAUACCGGAGUUCAGGACCUCAGUGCUGAUGAGAAUGACGAAGACUAUGAUGAUGUUUUACCUUUGGAGAUGGCUUUGCAACACCAAAAGCAAGAGCAAAAGCAAAAGUCAUGGCUUCCGUUCCGAUUAAGCAAGAAGGAUAGCAAGAAGCCUUUUAAGAAAGUUGAGGAAAGUAAAGAGCGACAAUCUUCAGCAAAGGCCUCCCCCGAAGGUAACGUAUCAACAUUUUCCUCCCCAGAACAUCAGUUGCAAACUCAGUACCACUGGCUUCUCUCUCUACAACAUUCUAAUGUUGCACUCUCAGAUGACAGUAUAAUUUGUCACUUAACACACCACAAUCAAACCACAAGCUCUUUGACCCACGAUGGAGGUCCUUUUAUCGAUUAUGAUUUUGUCUCCAAACAGUGGUUACAAAUGCAUGUUUGUACAAGUAAUAGUUUGUUUGGGUGACGGCUUGCUCGCUCGUUCGUUUUCACUUCUGUUCAUUGUGGUUUGCACUUGUUAUCCAGACUUGAUGAGUGGUGCCAAGGGAGAUCAUACAUGUCCUUUUAUCCCAGCUUGCCAAAUUGAUUGCUUGUUUUCCGAGAUUGGAACUCGGCCAUACUUGCGCUGAAGAAGCCAAGUUCAAUUGCUAAUCAAUCCUCCACUUGUAGAUGGCGAAGACAUAUAUGAUGACGUGGAUCAGGAAAUUGAAGAGAGUCCAGUCAGGUGAGAGAAUUAAUUGUUUUGAACUUCGUUGAUUUGCAACUUUGGUUUGUAAUGAAAUUUUGGAAUGUUUGCAGUGUAGUUUGGCUUUUUCACAUCUGCAUUGUAUCCUCAUUGUUUGCAAAAUGCGUAACAUUGGCUAUGGUUAUUAGAUCAAUCAUGUGGUACUGGAUUAUAUAACAAUGUUUUUGAAUUAAAUGUUUUUUUUUUUCAGUUCAAAAAAAAUGGAAAAGGAGAAAGAGGAAAAGGGGAGGAAAUUCAAGGUGAGGUCCAUUAUAUUAGGAUUUAAUCGUACUUACCUUAAAAGUGCCAAUAUAAUCAUGAAUUUAAUUUGCCAAUAUAAACAUGAAUAAUAAAAAGGGAGAUGUACCAAAGCAAUAUUACGGUAUACAUUUUCAUGUUUUCACGAGCAAAAGUAUUAACUCAUCAAAAGGCAAAUUUUGUUUUGCACGGUGGUCGUCAAGAAGCAUCGCUAACCCUCGGGGGAAUGGGGCG
RNAcentral lists this long non-coding RNA (2055 nucleotides) under Eptatretus burgeri (inshore hagfish). RNAcentral's name for it is "lncRNA (ENSEBUG00000017450.1)". Lineage: Eukaryota; Metazoa; Chordata; Myxini; Myxiniformes; Myxinidae. The record is from RNAcentral.